Molecule: ribosomal RNA, 506 nt
Filed under: uncultured bacterium
Lineage: Bacteria
Description: partial 16S ribosomal RNA
Rfam family: Bacterial small subunit ribosomal RNA
Source: RNAcentral
AGUGAACGCUGGCGGUAGGCCUAACACAUGCUAGUCGAACGGCAGCGCAGGAGAGCUUGCUCUCUGGGUGGCGAGUGGCGGACGGGUGAGGAAUACAUCGGAAUCUACUCUGUCGUGGGGGAUAACGUAGGGAAACUUACGCUAAUACCGCAUACGACCUACGGGUGAAAGCAGGGGAUCUUCGGACCUUGCGCGAUUGAAUGAGCCGAUGUCGGAUUAGCUAGUUGGCGGGGUAAAGGCCCACCAAGGCGACGAUCCGUAGCUGGUCUGAGAGGAUGAUCAGCCACACUGGAACUGAGACACGGUCCAGACUCCUACGGGAGGCAGCAGUGGGGAAUAUUGGACAAUGGGCGCAAGCCUGAUCCAGCCAUGCCGCGUGGGUGAAGAAGGCCUUCGGGUUGUAAAGCCCUUUUGUUGGGAAAGAAAUCCAGCUGGCUAAUACCCGGUUGGGAUGACGGUACCCAAAGAAUAAGCACCGGCUAACUUCGUGCCAGCCGCCGCAGUAA